This 497-nucleotide ribosomal RNA is filed under the name uncultured bacterium. RNAcentral describes it as "partial 16S ribosomal RNA". It matches the Rfam family "Bacterial small subunit ribosomal RNA", at positions 28 to 507 of the family's 1533-position model. The record is from RNAcentral.
GAUGAACGCUGGCGGCGUGCCUAAUACAUGCAAGUCGAGCGAACAGACGAUGAGCUUGCUCCUCGGACGUUAGCGGCGGACGGGUGAGUAACACGUGGAUAACCUACCUAUAUGACUGAGAUAACUUCGGGAAACCGGAUCUAAUAGCGGAGAAUCUAUUGCACCGCAUGGGUCAAUAGAGAAAGACGGUUUUGCUGUCACUACUCGAGGGAUACGCGCCGCAUUAGCUAGUUGGUAAGGUAACGGCUUACCAAGGCAACGAUGCGUAACCGAACUGAGAGAGUGAUCGGCCACACUGGAACGGAGACGCCGACCAGACUCCUACGGGAGGCAGCAGUAGGGAACGUUCCGCAAUGGGCGAAAGCCUGACGGAGCAACGCCGCGCGAGUGAUGAAGGUCUUCGGAGCGUAAUACUGUGUUAUGAGGGAAGAACAACUUUGUAAGUAACUAUGCACGUCUUGACGGUACCUAAUCAGAAAGCCCCGGCUAACUACGUG